RNAcentral lists this ribosomal RNA (497 nucleotides) under uncultured bacterium. RNAcentral's name for it is "partial 16S ribosomal RNA". It matches the Rfam family "Bacterial small subunit ribosomal RNA", at positions 28 to 507 of the family's 1533-position model. The record is from RNAcentral.
GACGAACGCUGGCGGCGUGCCUAAUACAUGCAAGUAGAACGCUGAAGAGAGGAGCUUGCUCUUCUUGGAUGAGUUGCGAACGGGUGAGUAACGCGUAGGUAACCUGCCUGGUAGCGGGGGAUAACUAUUGGAAACGAUAACUAAUACCGCAUAAAAUGGAUUAUCGCAUGAUAAUCCAUUGAAAGGUGCAAAUGCAUCACUACCAGAUGGACCUGCGUUGUAUUAGCUAGUUGGUGGGGUAACGGCUCACCAAGGCGACGAUACAUAGCCGACCUGAGAGGGUGAUCGGCCACACUGGGACUGAGACACGGCCCAGACUCCUACGGGAGGCAGCAGUAGGGAAUCUUCGGCAAUGGACGGAAGUCUGACCGAGCAACGCCGCGUGAGUGAAGAAGGUUUUCGGAUCGUAAAGCUCUGUUGUAAGAGAAGAACGAGUGUGAGAGUGGAAAGUUCACACUGUGACGGUAUCUUACCAGAAAGGGACGGCUAACUACGUG